AAGUCAAGCGCCACGCGGGGAUUCGGCGUGGGCGAGGAGCUUCCCUCCCCGGGCGGCCUCAGUUUCUUCUUCUUGAAGGUGACCAGUGGCGCCAACCGCGGAACAUUCCACCCUGCCAGUCUGGCGCCGGCCUUGCGGCUGCCUCACCCGGGCACCAUCAACCUCAUCUCCUCUGCAGACCCAGAGCCACUGAUGAGCUUCUCUGAGGGGCAGCUCUGCCUUCCGAAUCUGUCCGGUACCCUCAAGGGACCACUCAACCCAGUUCUGGAUGUUUCUACACGGGAGGCCCCGGCACAGCUCUCGACCCGUCGGGCGAGGCCUUGCUCUCCCCUCUGUCAAGCCAGGCAGGGAUUCUGCUGCUGGAACUGGCGGGGCUGCAGGGCCGAAGGGGAAGGCACCGGGCACGCGGCGGGCUGUCAGCGUCUGCUCCUCCGCUUUGCCUUAGCUCGUAGGGAGAGGAGCGUCCUGAUCUGUGUGUGUGUGUCUGUGUGUGCAUGUGCGUGUAUGCACGUGUGUGUUUGCUUAGCCUCAGUGUGGAGUGUGGGUCAGGCUGCCCCUCACCCAGCGGGGGUAGCCCCUUUACAGACAUGCAGACCCCGUUGUCCUGCCUCUACCCACCUGUGCCCGGGGGGCCCGCCGUUCCUCUGCAGCCGCCCAGGUGCACACCACCUCUUCUGUUACCUCGGGGACUGGCUGGCUGGUCUCCCAGGGCCCUGAGAGGCCUAGGGACUGGAAAGGCCCACCCCCCCCACCCCAUGCUCCCGCCCGGGGGCUGCAAUGCAGCGGCAGCCAUCGGGGUCCCCUCCCCGGAAGACAGAUGUCAGCCCCCCCAGGGCCCCUUCCAGGCCCCAGGGCUACUUGCAGGCAGGAGAGGGUCUGGCAUCUUACCCGGGACCGUCACCCCUAGGGCUGCUGACCGGGUGCAGCCAGUGGUCCCUUGGAGGAGCCCGGCUGCACUCCACAGCAGUUGGCAGUCCCAGCGCACCCCUUUGAGGCUGCUCUCCCCAGUUCUCUCUCGGGGCCUGCGCUCUUCCGGGCGCCUGUCCAGGAGAAUCUGUGCUUUGUGUCCCCGACUUGACUCGCGCCUGCUCCUUCCAUCGGGGUAGAAACUCCCCGCGGGCCGGACCACUGCUUAUGCAGGGCUGCGAGGGCCUUCGGUUCCUAUCCGUCGGUCAGAUGAACGAAUCCACCAAAAGAAGAGCUCAGCGAGUUGGAGCCGUCCACGUGAUGUCACACUACGCAGCCAUUUCCAGCAGGUUUUCUGAAUGAUAUUUAGUAUUCUGGGCAAACGUUCACAGCAGGAGCAAAGUGAAUACGGCAGGUUACAAGCUGUCACUGUGGAGAGGUACAUGGAUGGAUACGGUGCCUCCAUCCAGGCGGAGAGUAACCCCUCCCAGCGCAGCCCUUUACCUGCUGCCCGGUCCCUUGCUCCUGCCAGCGCGUGGGGUUGUGACAGUGACCGUUUGCUGAAAGGACGGAUGGGUUCUUUCAUCCACCGCCAUUCCUCGCUGCAGCCAGCGAGUACUGUGGUGCACCUACUGUGUGCAGGCUCUCCUCUCUGCAGCCUGCCAGCUCCCGGCCUGAUCUGCUUUGACCGCUCCGACAUGCCGGCAGCAGCCCUACCGGCCCUGUGGCCCGAGGCCCUGCCCCGGUUCACAGGACUCCGGCUGAGCAUCGGAGGAGCCCGGGGCUGAUCGCCCUCCAGGGCCAGAGCCCCGAGCACCAGCCCCCUCUCGCAGCUAAAUUACCAGCUGAUGACUUUGAACUUAUGCAGACUCAGCUUACACUUUGUUCGUGUGAAUAUGGAGAAAGCCAACGUGUUUCCUCAGCUCCUCUUAGUCCGCAGGAAUUACCUCUGAACUUUGUUUUCCUUGCAGAUCUUUUGGGGGCUUAGUUUUAGGUUUUAUUAGGAGGGGUCCAGUUUAACUCUUGCCCUGCUACGUGGUUCCUAACUCCUAAGACAUAGCCUCUCUGGGGGCUCAGCCGGAUGUCAAGAGUAUUUAACAAACUGUUGAGAUUUCUCCAUUGCGACCAAGCAGGGAUUUCGGUGUUCCUCUGUUUUUUCCCCCGGUUCAGCUCAAACCUCUAGUGUCUCCAAUUUGCUUUCAGUCCCGUAGGGUCCACUCUCUGAAAGUGUUGGAGGGUCUUGCUCUGAGCACGUACAGCACAUCCUCCAGCGGCGGACUCAUCGGGAGACCCCACAUCGACUUCCGGGGUCCCCCCCCCGCUGCACACCUCCUCUGCGAUGCCUUCCCUUGCUGGUCCCAGCUGCCCCGACCUCCAACUGCUGUCUUCGCAGCUCACCACGGCCGCUGAGCUCGGCUAAGCCCCAGGUCCCUGUGCUGCACCCAGCAGAUUCUCCCCCGGAGGAGAACUGGUGAUCGUGGGCACCCCUGUGGGCUUUCCUUCUCUCAAGGAUAACAAGCCUUGCACUGCCUGAUGUCCACUGCCCGCCAAGAAUUGCCUCAUAGUUUCAUCCAGUUUCGUAACUGUUGACCACGGAAGGGAUAGCUGAGUGCCAGUUAAUUCUAUCUUGGCCAGAUGGCAAGUGGCUUCAUUCCCCGGCCCCUGCUUCUACUUAGAAUAGAAUUCAAGUUCCGUGUUUGGUCUUCAAGGCUCUGCAAUCCCUAGUUCCCUCUCAGAUUUCACCCUCCUGCCCCAUUGUCACUGAAUCUCCAGGCACAGAGGCCUUCUUUCUGUUCUUCAGGUACACCAAGCUCUUUGCUACAUCUGGGACCGUGCACCUGUUCCAUCUACCGAGUGUUCUGAGCCCAGAUCUCUGCAUGACUGGUUAUUCAGGUCUCAGUUCCAAAUCACCGCGUCAGAGAGCCUUUCCCAGGCCAAUCUUUGUAACAAAAACUACAGUCCUCUCCACCUCCCCAUCGUUUAUUUUCUUUAUAACACUGAUUGACAUCUGAAAUGAUCACGCUUGUUAACGUUUUUAUUUGUUUCUUCUCCGUCUCUCCAAACGGAACCUGCGCCCCACCGAGCAGAAGUGCGUCUGUCUUCUUCCCCGUGGUGUCUGGGGGCGAGGCUCAGACCUGGCACGCUUGACUCCUUUGAAGGAUUUUCAUUGGCCCCUCCCCUUCCUCUGACACCUGCUUGGCACCCUUAUUUCUUGAAUGAAGAGUCGUUUCGUUGAAAGCGAAGAGGCAGUCAGGAAGUAAGAAGUCUCUCCUGCUAUUAAGCCUGAUCUCAGCCUAAGACCCUCUGGUGGUGUUCCCUGAUCAGGGAUCGAACCCAGGCCCUCGGCAGUGAGAACGCAGAAACCUAACCACUGGACCGCCAGGGAAUUCUCACCAACUCUUUCUUAAAGAUGAGACUGUGUCUCCUAAAACCAUCUCUGCAAUGUUCUUGAGGCAGCUUCUGCAAAGACGCCUCCCGGGCCCUUGUCUGGGAGGAGCUCAAGACAGUGGGUGGCACUGAGCAGUGAGGAUAACGGUGAGGCAUCAUCUCACAGCCCACGGUGGGGACAAAGGAGAACAGGUGUGCAGAGGUGCUUCAAACAUGCUGAGCACGUGCUUAUCGUCAUGGCGACGGAGAUGAUUCCUGCAUCACGGAAAAGUGAUCUGGAGCCCCGGCUGCCUUAGCACAAGCGGGCUAAGGAACCCACUCCCUGCGGUGGGCAAUUUCUGGGGUGUGAGUCAAGCUCUCGGUCACACCACUUCACCCUCACACCUCCCACCCUUCUCCUCCUUAGCAGCGGGAACUUUGGGCUAAUUACAGAAGUGAACUAGUUACCAGGGGCAGCUGACUCCACAUAGUAUAAUCUGUGAAACACGAGCUGGCACGCUGCAGGCCCCCUUCCCCGAGGGCUGGGGAAGCUGCAGGCUGUGGGGUGAUCCUGGGAGGGCCCUGGCUACUCUGGACAGCCCCCCAUUCUCACCUCCUCCCCCGUCUUGGCUCAGCUGGUGAAGCUACAGAGAGGCCUAGGGCAUAAGCUUGCUGCUGGGGAGGCCGUUUAGCUAUUCUUGGGCGCAAUGUGGAGGUCUCAGGUGGUCCUCUAGUAGUCAAGGUGUUCCAGCUUUUUCCUAGCCCAGGCCUGGGGAGCGCCUGGCACUGGUCUCACCUCUCCUCUGCUGAUGCCCUUGGAGACGGGGCCAGGAAGCUUUCCCUGGAUCCCAGCUGGGCCUCGGACUCCUUCUCAACGCUUUCCCACGCAGCCUCUGCUGAUUGAUCAGGGCUGGCAUUUGAGAUGAAAGCGAUUUGCCAGCCCUGCCUUAAAUCUUCCAACUCUGAAAGAAUCCAAGAAAAACGUUAGCUCCGGUGUGAAGCAACCCGUAGCUGUGUAGAGGGAACCCCCUGGCAAUGCGUGGGGGACCUUCUCCUUCGGAGAGGGCUUGAGCCCUGAGUAGAGAGAGCAGAGGAGGGACGCUAAAGAAGUGUGACAACAUCGUCUCCCCCGAGGCUCCUGGUCUGCUGCCGGGGUUCUCUGCUUGCUCCAACCCCGUCAAUCCCCUGCUUGCCCGCCCCCAGGUUGAGGUGCCCUUUGAGGGAGGGGCACCGCAGAGGCCACAAUGGCCAAGGGUCAAGCCCCAGCUCUGCCACCUAAGUAACUCAGACAGUUACUGAAUGUCUCUGAUCCUCCGUUUUCUCGCCUGUAGAGUGAGGGUAACAUUUCCUGCCUUGAAGUUAUGCUGUGAGGAAUAGAUGCGUUAGUAGAUGGUAUUUAAUCGAUGCUAGGAGUAAUCUUUUGGGGUCACAGUUAAAUUAUCAGUAUUUCAAAAAUUCUUAGUGGUACCUAAAACACAAGGGCCUCACGAUGGGCAGGGAUGUUCGACUUGCUGGAAUAUGGUGUGUACGACGUUUAGAACCGUGCCUGGCACGUAGUAAAUGCUAAUAAACGUUAGCUGUUAUUAUUUCCAUAUAAAUCAGGUAAAGUCCAGAUCUUGCUCUGUUGCCCUCUCCCUACCCCCCAUUCAAAUAAGGCAAAUAAAAAUCACUGAAAACAGAA
This is a long non-coding RNA of Physeter macrocephalus (sperm whale), 4954 nucleotides long. RefSeq lists it as uncharacterized. The transcript has 6 exons. Lineage: Eukaryota; Metazoa; Chordata; Mammalia; Artiodactyla; Physeteridae. The record is from RefSeq and is a predicted model, not a curated record.